This is a non-coding RNA of Rhinichthys klamathensis goyatoka, 857 nucleotides long. The record is from the annotation of a RefSeq genome assembly. NCBI's taxonomy places the organism in Eukaryota, Metazoa, Chordata, Actinopteri, Cypriniformes, Leuciscidae.
ACACACUCUUCAUCAUCACACAAGACUAAACUACAACUAUGAACAACAUCAUCAUCUUCAUCUGGACCAUUGCACUGUUUAUUCAAGAGUGUAGAGGACAGAUCACUGUAACUCAGAGUCCAUCAAUAUCAGCAGUUCAACCAGGAGAAGAAGUCAGAAUAAACUGUAAAACCAGCAGUAAUGUGCAUGCUGACAUUUGUAUGGCCUGGUACUCACAGAAACCUGGAGAAGCUCCUAAACUCCUCAUAUAUUAUGCAACAAGCCUUUAUACUGGAACUCACUCUAGAUUCAGUGGCAGUGGAUCUGGCAGUGAUUUUACUCUGACCAUCAGUGGAGUCCAGACUGAAGAUACAGGAGAUUAUUACUGUCAGAGUUAUCACUAUCCAAACAGUCAGCAUGUGUUCACACAGUGAUAAAGAGUCGUACAAAAACCUCUGUCAGUCAGACGUCACAGUGACUGCACUGAUACAGCUGAGAGAAACUGCAGCUGCUGAUGGAGGAUCACAAACUACACAAUAUCAAACCUUACACACACUUUAUUCAUUUAUUAUGAUGUACUAAGUAAACAUAUAAUCUUAUAUCCCUUACUAAACUGGACUAAAAUGUGUAGAACAUGUGAGUGGUGCUUGUUCUUGUAAAACUUCUUGUUCUUGUAAAGCCUCUACACUGUAAUAAUUGCACUUCAUGCUUCACCACUAGAGGACACAUCUUUAUAUGACUGAGUUCUUCUCUGUCAGCGAGAGAGUUUCUCUGGACACUUCAACGAGCAUCUAGAAAGAGAAAUCUCACACUUCACAUCAGAAGGCCUACUCUCUCAUCCCUGUGUAGAAAGACAUGAAUGAGACGCUGAAGUUAAA